Small RNA from Vibrio sp., 111 nucleotides. It matches the Rfam family "Qrr RNA". Rfam says of the family: This family represents a set of small RNAs (the Qrr RNAs) that are thought to be involved in the regulation of quorum sensing in Vibrio species. It is believed that these RNAs, guided by a protein, Hfq, can mediate the destabilisation of the quorum-sensing master regulators LuxR/HapR mRNAs. Lineage: Bacteria; Pseudomonadati; Pseudomonadota; Gammaproteobacteria; Vibrionales; Vibrionaceae. The record is from Rfam.
UGAUCCUUUUAAGCCAAGGAUCACCUAGCCAACUGACGUUGUUAGUGAACGUAGUUUUUGUUCACAAGAAUACAGGCCAGCCCAUCUUUAUUAAGGGCUGGCUUUUUUUUA